Molecule: long non-coding RNA, 373 nt
Organism: Vidua chalybeata
Lineage: Eukaryota; Metazoa; Chordata; Aves; Passeriformes; Viduidae
Exons: 2
Source: RefSeq, a predicted model, not a curated record
GAGCAUGCUCUGAUGUUUGCUGGAACUAAAACAGAAGUACAAAGAGUCAUUGUCGAAUGGAAAGAUCUGAAAUAUACCCACCCAUGGGUGUUUCCAUCAUCUGUCACACUGAAGGCAGGAGCACCGUGCAGGAAAUCUAAGGAAACAUCUUCAUUUUCAUCCAGCCACUGCAUCACAAACUGCUCAAACCACCUGCAGGGGAGCAAAGACAGCAAGUUAUAACAGGAAGAAGAGCACCCCAACCCCAGCAAGCCUUGUGAAAGCUGUCAGAUGUCUGAAUGUUGCUGUCUGUGCAUGUAGUCCAAGUUCCCAAAAACACUUGCACCUCUACACAAGCUAACAGGGCAUGUACCAUCACUUGGGCUGGUUCUGA